This 2968-nucleotide ribosomal RNA is filed under the name Chloroflexota bacterium. RNAcentral describes it as "Chloroflexi bacterium (freshwater metagenome) 23S ribosomal RNA". It matches the Rfam family "Bacterial large subunit ribosomal RNA". The record is from RNAcentral. Lineage: Bacteria; Bacillati; Chloroflexota.
GGUCAAAGAAAAAAGGGCACAGGGUGGAUGCCUUGGCGUUAGCAGCCGAAGACGGGCGUGGCAAGACUGCGAAAAGCCUCGGUGAGCUGUCUAGCAAGCCUAGCCGAGGAUACCCUAAUAGGAGAACCUGCCUGGGUAAAACCCGGGCUCUCGCCUAAAGCGAGAGGGAACCAGGAGAACUGAAACAUCUUAGUAUCCUGAGGAAGAGAAAUCAACGAGAUUCCCGGAGUAGUGGCGAACGAAAUGGGAACAGCCUAAACUUGAGUGGCUUAGUGGGCUUGGGCUCUAUGCCAUUCAAGGGUUGUAAGACACAAGAGACAGGGCUCAAGACCUGUCACAGAGUAAGAAAACUUCCGCCUAGUCAAAGGUCUCUGGAAAGAGCAACCAAAGAGGGUGAUAGUCCCGUAGACGACAGGCCGAAGUCUCUGCUUGUGUUCUUAAGUACCACGGGACACGAGGAAUCCCGUGGGAAUCUGGGGUGACCACACUCCAAGGCUAAAUACUGCUAACGACCGAUAGUGAACCAGUACCGUGAGGGAAAGGUGAAAAGCACCCCGGGAGGGGAGUGAAAUAGAACCUGAAACCUUGUGCCUACAAGCAGUCAAAGUCCCGAUUUUAUCGGGAUGAUGGCGUGCCUAUUGAAGAAUGAGCCGGCGAGUUGAUCUAUGUGGCUAGGUUAAGUAACUACGUUACGGAGCCGUAGCGAAAGCGAGUCUGAAUAGGGCGUUCAGUCGCAUGGAUCAGACACGAAACCGUGUGAGCUACCCAUGGCCAGGGUGAAACCUGACUAACCUCAGGUGGAGGCCCGAACCCGUGUACGUGGCAAAGUGCUGGGAUGAGCUGUGGGUAGAGGUGAAAUGCCAAACGAACUCGGAGAUAGCUUGUUCUCCCCGAAAUGCAUUUAGGUGCAGCCUCAGGUAAUAACUUAUGGAGGUAGAGCACUGGAUGGGCUCGGGGCCGUGAGGUUACCAAACUCAACCAAACUCCGAAUGCCAUAAGUUCAUAUCCUGGGAGUGAGACUGCGCGGGAUAAGCCGCGUAGUCGAGAGGGAAACAGCCCAGACCAUCAGCUAAGGUCCCGAAACGCGGGCUAAGUGGUAAAGGAAGUGAUAUCGCUAAAACAGCCAGGAGGUUGGCUUAGAAGCAGCCACCCUUUAAAGAGUGCGUAAUAGCUCACUGGUCGAGUGGUGUCGCACCGAUAAUAUAACGGGGCUAAAGCCCGCUACCGAAGCUAUGGUUCCCCGAUUUCAUCGGGGAAGGUAGGGGAGCGUUGCUAUAGCUGAAAAGCCCUGGCGUAAGCCAGAGUGGAGCAAUAGCAAGUGAGAAUGCCGGCAUGAGUAGCGUAAAGGCAUGUGGAAAUCAUGCCCACCGUAAAUCUAAGGUUUCCUACGCAAGGUUGAUCCGCGUAGGGUUAGUCGGGCCUAAGCCGAACCCCAAGGGGAUAGGCGAUGGACAAUGGGUCAACAUUCCCAUACCACCUAAUCAUUGUUUUAAGGCAAAGGGGGGACACAGUAGGAUAGGCUGAGCGUACCUAAUGGACAUGGUGCGUCUCCAAUCUAAGGCGUGUUGGGGCAGGCAAAUCCACUCCAACGUCAAGCUGAGGAGCGGGGGAAAUCGAGGGGAAACCUGAAAUGAUUCAGUUGAGUCCACACUGUCCAGAAAAGCCUCGUUGCUAAAGGAUUAGGUGCCCGUACCGCAAACCGACACUGGUAGAUGGGGGUAAGAGUCCCAAGGUGUUCGAGAGAACCCUCGUUAAGGAACUCGGCAAUCUAACCCCGUAACUUCGGAAGAAGGGGGCCCGCUGUAGAAGCGGGGGCACGAAACUGGCCCAGGCGACUGUAUAACAUAAACACAGGUCUCUGCCAAAGCGAAAGCUGAGGUAUAGGGGCUGAUACCUGCCCAGUGCCGGAAGGUUAAGGGGAGAGGUCAUCCCGACUUGUCGGGAGAAGCUUUGAGCCGAAGCCCCGGUGAACGGCGGCCGUAACUAUAACGGUCCUAAGGUAGCGAAAUCCCUUGUCGGGUAAGUUCCGACCCGCACGAAAGGUGUAACGACUUGGGCGCUGUCUCAACGAGGGACUCGGUGAAAUUGAAAUGGGGGUGAAGAUGCCCUCUACCCACAACUGGACAAAAAGACCCCGGGAGCUUUACUAUAUCCUGGCAUUGGACUCGAGUUGAGCAUGUGUAGGAUAGGUGGGAGGCUGUGAAGCUGAGGCGUCAGCCUUAGUGGAGCCAACGGUGAAAUACCACUCUUGUUUGAUUUUGGUUCUAACCUGCCUUCGGGUGGGAACCGUGCCAGGUGGGUAGUUUAACUGGGGCGGUUGCCUCCUAAAAGGUAACGGAGGCGUCCAAAGGUCCCCUCAGCACGGAUGGAAAUCGUGCAUCGAGUGUAUUGGCAUAAGGGGGCUUGACUGUGAGACCUACAAGUCGAGCAGAGACGAAAGUCGGGCAAAGUGAUCCUACGGUUCCGUGUGGAAGGGCCGUAGCUUAACGGAUAAAAGCUACCCCGGGGAUAACAGGCUUAUCUUGCCCAAGAGUUCACAUCGACGGCAAGGUUUGGCACCUCGAUGUCGGCUCGUCGCAUCCUGGGGCUGAAGCAGGUCCCAAGGGUUGGGCUGUUCGCCCAUUAAAGCGGCACGCGAGCUGGGUUCAGACCGUCGUGAGACAGGUCGGUCUCUAUCCGUUGUGGGCGCUGGAGAUUUGAGGGGAGCUCUCCCUAGUACGAGAGGAUUGGGAGGGACAGACCUCUAGUGUGCCAGUUGUCCUGCCAAGGGCAAUGCUGGGUAGCCAUGUCUGGAUGGGAUAAGCGCUGAAAGCAUCUAAGUGCGAAGCCCACCCCAAGAUGAGAUCUCCCACCCCGACUUCGGUCGGGGGUAAGACCGCAAGUAGAUAACUUGCUUGAUAGGCAGCAUGUGUAAGCGCAGUAAUGCGUUGAGCUGAGCUGUACUAAUGGUCGAGGUCUUUGACCUACA